This is a long non-coding RNA of Cyprinus carpio (common carp), 666 nucleotides long. Lineage: Eukaryota; Metazoa; Chordata; Actinopteri; Cypriniformes; Cyprinidae. The record is from Ensembl.
AUGUUUGAUGAGAGUCUCAACGAGACUACGAAAAACAAACAGCUGGAUGUGCACGUCUGCUUCUGGAAUGAGGGACAGGUUCAGUCCAGAUAUCUGGGCUCUCAGUUUAUGGGACAUUCCACUGCACAAGACCUGCUGUCGCAUCUCAAAGAAUGUAUGGACAGACUGAACCUCAGGGACUUGGUGUCCAUCUCAAUGGAUGGGCCCAGUGUGAAUUGGAAACUCUUUGACCUUUUCCAGAAAGAUCACGCUGAGCAGUAUGGAGGGGAUAUCAUACUGCAGCACUUCGACAGUUUCCUAUCCUUGGAGAGCCGGAGUGAGGACUUCCUCUCUUUUCCUCCCAUGCAGAAGAGGCUGGACAUCUUCCUGAGGAGUGCCAUGGAACCUUAUCCAGAGCUGUGGGGCUUCUGCAAGAAGCUGCUCAUCCUUUCCCACGGCCAAGCUACAGUUGAACGUGGAUUCUCUAUCAACAAAGAGAUGGAGUCAGACAAUAUUCAAGAGGACAAUGUGGUCACACGGAGGCUGGUGUGUGAUUAUAUCACACAACACGGAGGUUUUACCCAGGUUCCACUCAGUAAAGCGCUAUUCGAGAGUGUAGCAAGAGCUAGGACCAGAUAUCGUGCCCAUCUUGAGACAGAGAGAAAGAAAAGGGAGGCAAAAUCCUAG